RNAcentral lists this ribosomal RNA (137 nucleotides) under uncultured bacterium. RNAcentral's name for it is "partial 16S ribosomal RNA". It matches the Rfam family "Bacterial small subunit ribosomal RNA", at positions 355 to 509 of the family's 1533-position model. The record is from RNAcentral.
UAGGGAAUCUUCCACAAUGGGGGAAACCCUGAUGCAGCGACGCCGCGUGAAGGAAGAAGUAUCUCGGUAUGUAAACUUCUAUCAGCAGGGAAGAUAGUGACGGUACCUGACUAAGAAGCCCCGGCUAACUACGUGCC